RNAcentral lists this ribosomal RNA (465 nucleotides) under Vreelandella stevensii. RNAcentral's name for it is "partial 16S ribosomal RNA". It matches the Rfam family "Bacterial small subunit ribosomal RNA", at positions 338 to 795 of the family's 1533-position model. Lineage: Bacteria; Pseudomonadati; Pseudomonadota; Gammaproteobacteria; Oceanospirillales; Halomonadaceae. The record is from RNAcentral.
CCUACGUGUGGCUGCAGUGGGGAAUAUUGGACAAUGGGCGAAAGCCUGAUCCAGCCAUGCCGCGUGUGUGAAGAAGGCCUUCGGGUUGUAAAGCACUUUCAGUGGGGAAGAAAGCCUUGGGGCUAAUACCCUCGAGGAAGGACAUCACCCACAGAAGAAGCACCGGCUAACUCCGUGCCAGCAGCCGCGGUAAUACGGAGGGGGCGAGCGUUAAUCGGAAUUACUGGGCGUAAAGCGCGCGUAGGCGGUCUGAUAAGCCGGUUGUGAAAGCCCCGGGCUCAACCUGGGAACGGCAUCCGGAACUGUCAGGCUAGAGUGCAGGAGAGGAAGGUAGAAUUCCCGGUGUAGCGGUGAAAUGCGUAGAGAUCGGGAGGAAUACCAGUGGCGAAGGCGGCCUUCUGGACUGACACUGACGCUGAGGUGCGAAAGCGUGGGUAGCAAACAGGAUUAGAUACCCCGGUAGUC